GCUCAGCUUGGUAGAGUGGUUUGAGUGUUGGACUAUGACUCCGGAGAUCAGGGUUCAAAUUACCCAGUUGGCA
Non-coding RNA from Phrynosoma platyrhinos (Desert horned lizard), 73 nucleotides. The record is from the annotation of a GenBank genome assembly. NCBI's taxonomy places the organism in Eukaryota, Metazoa, Chordata, Lepidosauria, Squamata, Phrynosomatidae.